RNAcentral lists this ribosomal RNA (496 nucleotides) under uncultured bacterium. RNAcentral's name for it is "partial 16S ribosomal RNA". It matches the Rfam family "Bacterial small subunit ribosomal RNA", at positions 29 to 507 of the family's 1533-position model. The record is from RNAcentral.
AUGAACGCUGGCGGCGUGCCUAAUACAUGCAAGUCGAGCGAACGGACGAGAAGCUUGCUUCUCUGAUGUUAGCGGCGGACGGGUGAGUAACACGUGGAUAACCUACCUAUAAGACUGGGAUAACUUCGGGAAACCGUAGCUAAUACCGGAUAAUAUUUUGAACCGCAUGGUUCAAAAGUGAAAGACGGUCUUGCUGUCACUUAUAGAUGGAUCCGCGCUGCAUUAGCUAGUUGGUAAGGUAACGGCUUACCAAGGCAACGAUGCAUAGCCGACCUGAGAGGGUGAUCGGCCACACUGGAACUGAGACACGGUCCAGACUCCUACGGGAGGCAGCAGUAGGGAAUCUUCCGCAAUGGGCGAAAGCCUGACGGAGCAACGCCGCGUGAGUGAUGAAGGUCUUCGGAUCGUAAAACUCUGUUAUUAGGGAAGAACAUAUGUGUAAGUAGCUGUGCACAUCUUGACGGUACCUAAUCAGAAAGCCACGGCUAACUACGUG